GCCAGUGUGGUGUAGUGGUUUGGGUGCUGGACUGACUCUGUAGACCAGGGUUUGAUUCCCUGCUCAGCCA
Molecule: transfer RNA, 70 nt
Filed under: Phrynosoma platyrhinos (Desert horned lizard)
Lineage: Eukaryota; Metazoa; Chordata; Lepidosauria; Squamata; Phrynosomatidae
Description: tRNA-OTHER
Source: RNAcentral